CUAAGGAUUUUAACGGAAUAUAAGACCUUGGGUCUUAUAAACAGAACUUCCCCGGUCUGGUUUAGUUUUGAUGGAUCUUUCCUUCUAAACAUAUGGAACACCUGCUAAAUGCGCCACUUCAUGUGGUUCCCCUUGUGUUAGCAUGGCCUAAGCUCUCUUCUUGACUUUUUUUAUC
This 175-nucleotide unclassified non-coding RNA is filed under the name Bacillus sp. PLW. RNAcentral's name for it is "ITS1". The record is from RNAcentral. Lineage: Bacteria; Bacillati; Bacillota; Bacilli; Caryophanales; Bacillaceae.